CACAGUGUAGCUUAACCUAAAGCCUCUGGCUUACACCCAGAAGAUUCCACUAACUGGACACUUUGA
This 66-nucleotide transfer RNA is filed under the name Myospalax aspalax (false zokor). Its description in RNAcentral is "tRNA-Val". It matches the Rfam family "tRNA". From Rfam's summary of the family: Transfer RNA (tRNA) molecules are approximately 80 nucleotides in length. Their secondary structure includes four short double-helical elements and three loops (D, anti-codon, and T loops). The record is from RNAcentral. Lineage: Eukaryota; Metazoa; Chordata; Mammalia; Rodentia; Spalacidae.